RNAcentral lists this ribosomal RNA (666 nucleotides) under Alexandrium tamarense. Its description in RNAcentral is "eukaryotic LSU rRNA". It matches the Rfam family "Eukaryotic large subunit ribosomal RNA", at positions 43 to 651 of the family's 3401-position model. Lineage: Eukaryota; Dinophyceae; Gonyaulacales; Pyrocystaceae. The record is from RNAcentral.
UAAGUAAGUGGUGGAAAUUAAACCAAAUGGGAUAUCUUUAGUAAUUGCGAAUGAACAAGGAUAUGCUUAGCUUGACAAAUGGAGCUAUUGGCUUUGAAUUGUAUUGUGGAAAUGUAUUACCAACAGAGGUGCAGGUGCCAGCCUAUUGAAAUAAAGCGUCAAUGAGGGUGAGAAUCCUGUUUGUCAUGUGCAGCCCUUUGUGCACGGUGUAUAUUUGCUGAGUCACACGCCUUGGCAUUGGAAUGCAAAGUGGGUGGUAAGUUUCAUGUAAAGGUAAACAUGCAAUUGAGACUGAUAGCACACAAGUACCAUGAGGGAAAUAUGAAAAGGACUUUGAAAAGAGAAUUAAAUGAGUUUGUAUCUGCUGAACACAAAGUAAACAGACUUGAUUUGCUUGGUGGGAGUGUUGCACUUGCUUGACAAGAGCUUUGGGCUGUGGGUGUAAUGAUUCUUUCUUUGCAUGCCAGUUUCUAUUUGUACAUCUGAUUACCUUUGCACAUGAAUGAUAAGUCUCCUGUGGGGGGUGGAUUGCAUGUGCAUGUAAUGGUUUGUGUUUUGAUAAAUGUGUCUGGUGUAUGUGUGUGUUCCUGUGCUUGGGGAUGCUUCCUUCCUUGGACUUACAAGCCCUGACACACACAUGCUGGCAAAAUGCUUCUGCUUGACCCG